UGGGGAAUAUUGCACAAUGGGCGCAAGCCUGAUGCAGCCAUGCCGCGUGAGUGAAGAAGGCCCUAGGGUUGUAAAGCUCUUUCGUCGGUGAAGAUAAUGACGGUAGCCGAAGAAGAAGCCCCGGCUAACUCCGUGCCAGCAGCCGCGGUAAUACGGAGGGGGCUAGCGUUGUUCGGAAUUACUGGGCGUAAAGCGCGCGUAGGCGGAUCUUUAAGUCAGGGGUGAAAUCCCGGGGCUCAACCUCGGAACUGCCCUUGAUACUGGAGAUCUUGAGUCCGGAAGAGGUUAGUGGAAUUCCCAGUGUAGAGGUGAAAUUCGUAGAUAUUGGGAAGAACACCAGUGGCGAAGGCGGCUAACUGGUCCGGUACUGACGCUGAGGUGCGAAAGCGUGGGGAGCAAACAGGAUUAGAUACCCCCGUAGUCC
This 424-nucleotide ribosomal RNA is filed under the name uncultured prokaryote. RNAcentral describes it as "bacterial SSU rRNA". It matches the Rfam family "Bacterial small subunit ribosomal RNA", at positions 355 to 796 of the family's 1533-position model. The record is from RNAcentral.